GAUGAAGAACGCAGUGAAAUGCGAUACUUGGUGUGAAUUGCAGAAUCCCGUGAACCAUCGAGUCUUUGAACGCAAGUUGCGCCCGAAGCCAUUAGGCCGAGGGCACGCCUGCCUGGGCGUCACACGUCGUUGCCCCCCCAUCUACUCCUUCGGGAUUGCGGGGGGCGGAUGAUGGCCUCCCGUGCGCCUCGUCGCGCGGUUGGCCUAAAUGCCAAGUCCUCGGCGACGCACGCCACGACAAUCGGUGGUUGCGAAACCUCGGUUGCCCGUCGUGUGCGGUCGUCGCGCAUCGAGGGCUCGAAAAAAUUGCCGGGCUUCGGCUCGACUUUCAACGCGACCCCAGGUCAGGCGGGGUUACCCGCUGAAUUUAAGCAUAUCAAUAAGCGGAGGA
Molecule: unclassified non-coding RNA, 391 nt
Filed under: soil metagenome
Description: partial contains 5.8S ribosomal RNA, internal transcribed spacer 2, and large subunit ribosomal RNA
Rfam family: 5.8S ribosomal RNA (bases 1-122)
Source: RNAcentral